GGGCGGAUGGUUUAGUGGUAUAAUUUUCCCUUAGCAUCGUCGGUUCCGAUUUUCACGAUUGGUUCUGCAGCCUGGGAAAGGUCCGGGGUUCGAUUCCCCGUUCGUCCA
RNAcentral lists this transfer RNA (108 nucleotides) under Trichoderma longibrachiatum. RNAcentral's name for it is "tRNA-Ala". It matches the Rfam family "tRNA". Rfam says of the family: Transfer RNA (tRNA) molecules are approximately 80 nucleotides in length. Their secondary structure includes four short double-helical elements and three loops (D, anti-codon, and T loops). RNAcentral also lists the same sequence under 1 other name. Lineage: Eukaryota; Fungi; Ascomycota; Sordariomycetes; Hypocreales; Hypocreaceae. The record is from RNAcentral.